GUCACUUUGGUGGAGUGGUUAACACGCAGCCCUGCUAAGGCUGUUCCUUCGGGAGCGUAGGUUCGAAUCCUGCAGGUGACG
RNAcentral lists this transfer RNA (81 nucleotides) under Podospora comata. It matches the Rfam family "tRNA". Rfam says of the family: Transfer RNA (tRNA) molecules are approximately 80 nucleotides in length. Their secondary structure includes four short double-helical elements and three loops (D, anti-codon, and T loops). RNAcentral also lists the same sequence under 6 other names. The record is from RNAcentral. Lineage: Eukaryota; Fungi; Ascomycota; Sordariomycetes; Sordariales; Podosporaceae.